Molecule: long non-coding RNA, 1369 nt
Filed under: Gossypium raimondii (Peruvian cotton)
Lineage: Eukaryota; Viridiplantae; Streptophyta; Magnoliopsida; Malvales; Malvaceae
Description: long non-coding RNA (GRAI_LNC009854)
Source: RNAcentral
UCGAGCCAAAUUGAUAAUUGAUUCAACAUUGAGGGACUGAAAUAACAAUUAAGCGCAUAAAUCCAGGCACUCAAACCUAAUCAUCGAAACGGUGCCGUUUAGUCAUGGAUCUAAUUAAAAUUGGAACAAAAUAUGAGGUAGAGAUUUAAAAAAACAAUAAAAACCAAAUUAAAAUGAAAACAAAUGCGGAGGGGCUUGUUGUGCAAUAAUCCCAUCAGACCCAAAACGCGCAGAUCCUUCCUUCGGGUCGGGUCACCACACGGGUCUGAGCUUCUAAAUGGCAUCGUAUCAUGGCCACUGCACAGGCUCUGAAUGACGUCGUUUCUUCCAUUAGUUAUAAGCCAAACCCUAGAGCGAUCAGCAGUUUAUUUCAUUCAAAAUAAAACCUAAAAGAUUUGCUUGUUGUUUUCGGCGCCGUUCUGUGGAGCAGUUGUUCGAAAAGGAACUCCAAAUCCUUGCUCAAACUCCGAUUGCGACGGAGAGAAACAAGAUCCGGCUAUGAGGUAUUUUCCUUACUUCCUAAACUCUCCUUUUUUGUUGUUCGACGAAUCGUCGUCCUCAAGGGCCCUCGAACCUCGCCCAAACUCUGAUGGAUACGGAGAGAGCGGAGGUCCGGCCACAAGGUACGUUUUUCUUCCUCUUUUCUUUUAUUUUAUAUAUAUUCUAUUACAUGCGAUUAAGAGCAAAGCAGAGAAGGAAAGAAAAGCAACUGGAAAAAGAAUGGUAAAGAGAAAGAAGAAAACCUUCUUUUUAAUUUUUGUAUUGAUCUUUUUUGUUUUUUUGAUACAGUCUCCAUGUUUACAGAUUCUUAAAUCAGCCUUUAUAGCCGAAAAUGAAAAAAUAAAAUAAAAUAAAAUAAAAAAAUUAAAAGAAAUCUGUCCCUGUUCAUUUGCUGUCGAUUUCUGCUCUUUUUGUUUGCUUGUCGUUCUUGCAGGUACGACGUACGCGCAGCGCGUGGCGGUGUGUGAAGGCUGUACGGAGGUGCGGACGUGGUGUGCAGAGGCGUGGCUCGUGGGGCACGUGAGGCCGAGGGAAAGCGGUGGCUGAAGCUGAAAGCUGUUGAAGGCUAAUGUUUCAACUUGAAUCGGGCCGUGUAAAUCGGGUUAGGGUAUUAGCUUUUUCGGGUUGUUUGGGCAUUCGGGCUAGGUGUAAUUUGGCCAUUCAGGUUUAGUCUUCUAGGCAUAUGCAUUUGGGCCUGCUGAUGUAAAGAACUGGACUAUGUUAUUGGUUUUUGGACUUUUAAUUUUGGUUUUGGUUUAUUAUUAUUUUUUAUAUUUUUUGUUUAUUUAUUUCUUAUUUGGGCCGGGCAAAUUGAGCCUAUUACAUUAGGCAUCAUAGUCUUUUGCAAAUCAGAUUUGAGAAACCAAGC